This is a long non-coding RNA of Triticum aestivum (bread wheat), 3588 nucleotides long. RefSeq lists it as uncharacterized. The transcript is spliced from 4 exons. Lineage: Eukaryota; Viridiplantae; Streptophyta; Magnoliopsida; Poales; Poaceae. The record is from RefSeq and is a predicted model, not a curated record.
CUCGCAUGCCGCGGCUCCUUGCCCAAUCGCAUCCACACCAGGCGAACCCUAGCCUCCUUUCCCCCGAUCCCCCAGCCGCCGCACGGCCUCGCUCCUCCUUCCCUCCCGCUGCACCCUCUCCUCGUUCGCAGCCGCCUCCUUUACACCUCUGCCCGAGCUCCGCCUUCCUCGCCGACCUCCCUCCUCCUGCCUCCUCCCUCCCACGCCUCUCCCUCCUCCUGCCUCCUCUCUCCCCUUUCCCGCGGUCCCCACAACCUCUCCCACUUCUUCCAUCCCUCCUCCCCGUGUCACCACUCACCAUGGCCUCCGCCCUGAAACCUCGCCGACGUCUGCUAUUCCUCCUCCCUCAUCUCUGUUCGGCGCCGAUGACCAGCUCACCCCACAGCUUCUUCCCCACCCACGACCUAGUGUUGGGGAGGCUGGGUUUUCUCGCUGGGGGUGGAGGAGAUGGGGACGGCCAAGAGGCCAGCAGUGGGGAGCAGCUAGGUCGGCCUGCCGUCUCUCCACGGAUCUGGUCAGCGGCCGAGUUGGCUGGCUGGGAUGAGGAGAUUGUCCUCCUUGUGGCGCUCGUCAUCGAGGACAGCCUGGUCCGCAAAUCGCGGCCCUCCUGCGUUGGGCUACACGACGUGGCUUACUGAAGAGCGCUGACCAACAGCAUAUAGAAACCCUAGCCAUCAUGCUCCUGCCUAGGACACACCAACCCUUCUCCUCUCGCAUUGCUCUAUUUAUUCCCCUGAUUCCCUAUUCGUUUUUUUGUUAUUUGACUAAGUUGCCUACUCUGAUGCUCCAGUGUGGUAUUUGCAGGUGUUGAUCUUGGGUUUACCACUUGUGGCUUUGGUUUGACAGGGUGCUAGCAGCUGCAGUUCUGUUCAUUUGGAGGACACAUACGACAAACUGUGACAUCACAGUAUUUUUUUCCUUUAGAUGCUUUAUCUUUGUUUUUUCUGUGUGUAUGCAUGCCAUGGUUUGCACAUCCUUUGCUCAUUGGCAUGUCUAUACACGGGCUUGUUGUUCUUCUAGAGAACUGAGUUGGUGAUGUUUAUUACUGUUAGCUGUUUAGAGUGAUUGUGCCCAAUUAAUUAUUACCAGGUAUUUAUCGAAUGAUCUUAUGCAAAUUCCCGGCUAAUUGAUUCCUUUUUUAGCCAAGGCCAUCUUUAUAUCACAUAUCUCUGCUGCUGGUGAAAGUGAUUCAACUGAAAGUGGCAUGUGAUUCUCCCCUGGAGCCCAACAGCCCUCUAUAUGGAUUAUCUGAAAGAAUUGAAGCUUCAUCAAAUCUAUCUGGGCGUUCAUUGCGUAAUACAAUGGAGGGGAACUUAAGAACUAGGAUGGUGCAGAUAAGUAAGAGUUGUUGGCAACAGCAACCUACACAUGUGGAAACAGUGGCUAUGGCGGUUCAAAGGGAAGUUGUGGCUGCUAAGCAACUCACAACUUAGUGGCGGCUCAAAGGACAUAUAAUCUAUUUCUUCUUGGAGCUAUCUACUAUCAUGUUAUGACUCGGUGCUAGCUGAAGCUUCUAUUUUCUCGCCUUUUGUGGUGGCGAUUAUUCCUUGGACUACAUUAAUUCCAUUUGUAAGUAUCAUGUACUGCAACCAUCUUUAUCUUUAGCCCCUGCACUUCAGUAUCAAAUUCGUGUGUAAGUGUAGGUUUUCUACUUGCUCCCUGAACAUUCCUUUGUUUUUCAUGUACAGUUUUUUAUCACUAGCUUCAACAUAGUUAAUUAGCAUGCGAGAGGCUCAACUGUAGCUUUUUGCAAUGCUAGAAGGCCAUAUUCAGUACUGAAAAUCUAAACUGUUCUUUCCACUCUGUAACAACUUCUAUGCUUGCGCCACCAUGAUAUCAUUACAACAUUUACCUAUAAAAUUUUAUUAGUUACACGUAAACUGAAUUGAUUUACCGGUAAAAAUCUGUACAACUCAUUUUAGUCGAUAGUAACAAUUGUAGAAUUACCAGGAUAUGUCAUGUAUGUGCUCUGAGUCGUAGCAUGUUGCAAAAAGUACAAUAAGAGAUAGAUUGUAUGCACUAUGGCUAGCAGUAACAUUUUUUGACUUGUACACCAUUCGAUCUAUCUAUUUCUAUAGGCUAUUCCUCAUGUUGCAACCUUUUCCCGUAGAAUCGAAAGGAAUUAGAUGGAAGAAAUUGCCGGAGGUAUACUUCGUGUUCCAUUAGUCUUACUUUCGGAGGCAUGUCUAUAGUCUUAGUGUUGGAGGUGUGUCAAUAGUAGUAUCAAUUUUGGAGGCUUGUCUAUAUUAAUCUUAUUUUUUGGAUUACAUUUCUUUCAUCUGCAUCCUCUUCAUAAUGGAUUAGGUUACCUUCUUAUUGCCAUGUGAUACUUUUUCUUAUUACUGUGAUCGUCAGUGCUCUUAACAUUGGUUGUUCUUGCUUCAUGGCUGCCUUCUCAGCGCACUGUUAUUAGUUCUAAUACAUUAAUUAUAAUAUGCUCGAUUGACCAUAUUAAUUAUAUAUAUUUCACUUCACUGGGGCUAUUGGUGGAAGUGUUGGUUAAAAUAUUUUGGUGGCAGUGUAUAAAACUAAUUGUUGUACACCAUUGUUAAGUGCGCUUUUGAGCUUUGAGUAGACAAUUGUGGUCUUAAUUACUUUAAAGGAUCGUUAGUAUAUUACUAUCAGAUUUCCAUGUCCAGUUAUUCACACUAUAUUAUUGCUUGGUUCUGAUAGCUUGCUAUUAUUAGAGCAGGAAUGGUAUUCUCGGCUGACAUUCAAAAGCAGUCAAGAUGGUGAAGUUUAGAACGGAGGAGCUCUGCGGAAUUAUGGAUAAAAAAUAUCCAUAACAUGUCUGUCAUUGCUCAUGUCGACCACGGUAUGUGACGGAGCAGUGACAGUUGUCUCUAAUUGUCAAGUUUAUACGGUAGAAUUUUCUUGAUUGAUGAUUUUGUAGCCUUCUCUUAGUUUUACUGUAUUAAUUCUUAAAACUGGAUCAUUUAAAAUUAGUUAGAUUUAAUGAAUUGUUUCACUGUUUUCAAAUAAGUAGUUUAAGCCCUUAUUGUGUCCCGGAGCUUAUUCUUUCUGCCUUUUUAUGAUUGAUAUAUGCUCUAACAAGCUUAAAUAUAACUAUUGGCAUAUAAUCUCAUGGCUCAAAAUCUUAGUUGUUGAAUGUAUUAAAAUUUAUAAGAUCUGGAGUCUACACUAUAUUUCAUCCUGCGGUAUUCCCAGUAAUUGAAUAUUAAGAGCACCGACGAACCCAGGUUGUACAUUCGGGAAAUGCUUUUAUCUUGCAGGCCAGUUUUACAUUUACUUAUUCAAUAAGGAGAUGACCAUGAAUAGAGUAUCAUGGUAUUUGCCUUGGCAUUACUGACGAUGUGUUCAGAUUACUGAAAGAAGGAUUGGUAACCGCAAAGGAGUGAAGAAAAUAUGUCCAUUGUCGUUGAAUUGGUGGGAUUGUCCCCAAGUUAGUGCUGCAGAUGUUUCUAUUUUAGAGCAAGAAGCCAAAUCAUGCUGUUGAUUGUAAAUCUUGAAAAACUUGUUUAUUGUCACUUCUUUAUCUGUUGUAAACAUUUGUUCAUGAUGUGGUACUUGUCAAUCUUGGUUUGCCCUUCCUUUUCAAGUUUGCCUUAAAUUUCAGCAGACCAACAA